AGGGAAUCUUCCACAAUGGACGCAAGUCUGAUGGAGCAACGCCGCGUGAGUGAAGAAGGUUUUCGGAUCGUAAAGCUCUGUUGUUGGUGAAGAAGGAUAGAGGCAGUAACUGGUCUUUAUUUGACGGUAAUCAACCAGAAAGUCACGGCUAACUACGUGCCAGCAGCCGCGGUAAUACGUAGGUGGCAAGCGUUGUCCGGAUUUAUUGGGCGUAAAGCGAGCGCAGGCGGAAUGAUAAGUCUGAUGUGAAAGCCCACGGCUCAACCGUGGAACUGCAUCGGAAACUGUCAUUCUUGAGUGCAGAAGAGGAGAGUGGAACUCCAUGUGUAGCGGUGGAAUGCGUAGAUAUAUGGAAGAACACCAGUGGCGAAGGCGGCUCUCUGGUCUGCAACUGACGCUGAGGCUCGAAAGCAUGGGUAGCGAACAGGAUUAGAUACCCUGGUAGUCCAUGCCGUAAACGAUGAGCGCUAGGUGUUGGGGACUUUCCGGUCCUCAGUGCCGCAGCAAACGCAUUAAGCGCUCCGCCUGGGGAGUACGACCGCAAGGUUGAAACG
Molecule: ribosomal RNA, 554 nt
Filed under: uncultured bacterium
Lineage: Bacteria
Description: partial 16S ribosomal RNA
Rfam family: Bacterial small subunit ribosomal RNA
Source: RNAcentral